Non-coding RNA from Monodelphis domestica (gray short-tailed opossum), 414 nucleotides. The record is from the annotation of a RefSeq genome assembly. NCBI's taxonomy places the organism in Eukaryota, Metazoa, Chordata, Mammalia, Didelphimorphia, Didelphidae.
AUGAGAGCACCAGGGAGUCCUGCAUCACGGCAUGGGAUUUGCUGCUGCCUCACCUGCCAGCCACCAUCAAUGGACUCAUCUUCUUCCCCUGAGUCAGCUGUGGUGACUCAGCCUCCCUCUGCCUCUGCAGCCCUGGGGAGCUCGGCCAGACUCUCCUGCACCCUGAGCAGUGAGCUCAGGGGUAAUUAUGUUGGUUGGUACCAGCAGAGCCCAGGAAAGCCCCCUAGGUCCCUCUUGUGGGUUAACGGUGAUGGAAGUGUAGAAAAGGGCGACGGGAUCCCUGAGCGCUUCUCUGGCUCCAGCUCUGGGGCUGAUCGAUUCCUGUCCAUCAGCAACGUCCAGGCUGAGGAUGAAGCCGAUUAUUUCUGUGGGAGAGGUUAUGGCAGUGGUGGUGGUUAUCAUUACCCACAGUGA